ACCAAUAGUUGGGCCUCACCUCGCAGUUCCUGGAAAGAAUUACUGGCCUCGCGAUUCCGGCCCCGUCGCCGCCGUCGCAUCGCCGCCGCCACCGGCGCCGCCUCGUAGCGCCCCCGACCUGCUCGCACCGCUACAAACCCAUGGCGAGGGAAGAGGAGAAAAGAUUGAUUCUUUUGGUCUCCAUAGGCUUUGGCGAAUCAGAUUGACAUGUACUUGGUGCAUGCCUCUGUUCUCGUAGCUCUAACUUGCCAUCGCAUAGUUGCAGCCUAUCCUACCAAUGACUAGUGACCUAACUCUUGACAGUUUCUGUCAAAAAAAGUCCUGUCAGCUAGGAUUUCAGCAACUGAGUACCAUGGGGCAUUGGAAGAUGAUGGAGACUGUUAGCUGUGGCUGGAGGAGUUGCCAGACUAUGAUAUGAGAUGAUGAAGUGACGGAGGGAAGGUGGGGCAUAAACUGUUCUCGAGAUAUCACCAUCGUCCAAACGUUAUUUGCAGAAUCCAGACGAUAAUCUGGAAAUAAAGAAAAGAACUGCACAAGUUAGUACUUGAACCUUUUUUAGGGUUUUAUUUUUAUUUGGAUGAACUGCAUUCUGUGGGCAGGCGAUGCAUAUGUACAAAGAGCCACCAAUUUCUAAUGGCUUAGCAGUAUAUAAUCAUCACUCUGGAAUUUGCUACUCAGAAUUUAAUGUAACACUAUUUUGUAACGUUGAUUAGAAAUACUUACUACUAUGUAUGCAGGGACAGUGCGGUUUUAUUUUCUGAACAGAUGUGGCCUGACCAUGGUACAUGACUGAUCUGUAAAAAGUUCUUGGUUGCUGCUGUUUGGAAGGUCAUCCAGUCUGAGGCAUUCAUCGAUUGAGACCGACUGUGCUAGAUCAUGCAUAGCAUCAUGCAUCACAUAUCCACCGUUGUGAUAUUGGAAGAAGGACCUGCUUAGUAAUUCAUCAAAAUAGCUACUUCCAGUCUCUUCUAUUCUUCUCCUCUGCUAUGGCUGAAUAAACCCAAGGGCCAUCCAUAUCUGGACGAACCUGUCUUUCUCAAACACAUAAUCUUUGUGAAAGACCGAGCAAAAUGCAAAACAUCUCUUCAGUACGGGCGGCAAAUGAUUGUAACUCAAUCUCAGAGCUGGUAAUAUAUUGUUCUUAUCUGAUGGCAAUUCCCAUAUUUCACUCCUUAAUACAUUUUCCCAAUCAUCCUCGGUAUCCUUGGAAUAUAGUAAGCUGCCUAUUGCUUUUGCAGCCAGUGGCAGGCCUUUCAACUUCUUUACAAUUUCCAUGCCUAUUCGUACCAAAUUUGGGUCUUCAAUGGAUUUACCAUCUACAAAUGCAUAGCUUCUGAACAAAUACCAGCAAUCAUCGUCAGAUAACUGAUUGAGAUAAUAUGGAGCCAUCCCGCCCAUUACUAUCCCCACAUUUUUGUUCCUUGUGGUUACUACGAUUCUGCUUCCCUUUCCCCCAGUAACUAGAGCACGGUGAUAUGUAUACCACUUUUCAGGGUCCUCAUUCCAUACAUCAUCAAGUACUAGAAGAAACCUUUUAUCUGUUAGCUUUUUUGAGAGGUCUUCUUGUAUCAUUGUAGACCAGCUGUGUUAGAGUCGUCUUCCCUAGUCCGCCCAUACCCACUAUGGGAAGAAUAGAAAGGUUGGCACGGUUCUUUUGAUCAAGCAACAUCUUCACAAUGAUCUCUUUAUCUUCUUCUCUUCCAAACACACUUGAGUCGUCAAUGAUUGAACUGGUCUCGGGUCUUUCUUUUAUCUCUUUCCUGUCCGUAGUACUGAUCAUGUUUGGGCCAAUAAUCUGUCUUUGUUUGACAAGCCUGUCGAGCUUCUCCUCUACCUUCCGUAUGUCUUGUAAUAUCUUGUGGUUGAAUAAACAAGUGUUGAACCAAAAGCAGCAGAAACAGCUCCUCACCUUGUUCAAAUGGUUGUAGUUGGAUGUGCCUUCUAGUUUGGAUCGAAGGGCCUCAGCUGCAUAAUCAUCAAGCAAGUCAUCCAUCUCAUAUGCGAUGUCCUUGAGCUUGGCAAGCCAGUCUCGUGCCGCCUCAUCCUUCAGCUGCCGCUCCUCAGCAUCUUCAACGUGGGCCUGAAUGGUCGACAGGCUGCUGGAUAGUUUCUCCAGCUCCUCGGCUACAUUUUGAGACCGAAGGAUCCGAGCCUGGCAAUAUCCUGGGAAGACUGAUGAAGACUUCAUCAGAGAAGGAAAAAAAGGAACACAGUUUGUCGUUGUGUGUGACAUCGUGUACCACUGAUUUACUUUUCCUUACAGCUCUUGUCUGUCAACAAUGUCUGGAAGAUUGGUUGGAAAUUUGGAGGAAAGACACCAAGGAUGACAUCUUCAAGUUAGUAUGAUUCAUUUUAGCGGAAGCUGAGACUGAGUUAUCAGGUGCGCGUUCAGUUUUUUGUAUGAGGAGGUUGAUUCUGUGAAGGUUUGUUUUUGUCUUCUGAAGGAUCGUAGUAUCGGUGUAUUUGAAUGCAGGCGUGUAACGGUGGUGUAUAGUGGUGAAAACAAAGAAGAUGAGAAUUUUUUUUUUAAUAAUUUAUA
Long non-coding RNA from Triticum aestivum (bread wheat), 2539 nucleotides. RefSeq lists it as uncharacterized. Lineage: Eukaryota; Viridiplantae; Streptophyta; Magnoliopsida; Poales; Poaceae. The record is from RefSeq and is a predicted model, not a curated record. The transcript is spliced from 5 exons.